GACGAACGCUGGCGGCGUGCUUAAUACAUGCAAGUCGAGCGGAAAGGCCCGGCGUUUGUUGGGUGGUCGAUUGGCGAACGGGGGUGUAACACGUGAGUAACCCGCCCCUGACUUUCUGAUAACUUCUGGGAACACGGGCGAUUACCCGGUAGAAUCUCCUGCUGCAUGGGGGUGGAUGGAAAAAUUCGGCGGUUGGGGCUGGUCUCGCGGCUUAUCAGCUUGUUGGUGGGGUAGUGGCUGACCAAGGCUUUGACGGGUAGCCGGCCUGAGAGGGUUGACGGCCACCAUGGGACUGAGAUACGCAGCAGAAGCCUACGGGAGGCAACAGUGGAGAACAUUGCAGAGUGGGCGGACGCCUGAUGUAGCAACGCCGCGUGCGGGAUGAUGGCUUUCGGGUUGUAAACCGCUUUCGAAUGUGCCGAAGAGUGCGUGACGGUACUGGGUAAAGAAGCACCGGCUAACUACGUG
RNAcentral lists this ribosomal RNA (468 nucleotides) under uncultured bacterium. Its description in RNAcentral is "partial 16S ribosomal RNA". It matches the Rfam family "Bacterial small subunit ribosomal RNA", at positions 28 to 507 of the family's 1533-position model. The record is from RNAcentral.